RNAcentral lists this ribosomal RNA (301 nucleotides) under uncultured bacterium. RNAcentral's name for it is "partial 16S ribosomal RNA". It matches the Rfam family "Bacterial small subunit ribosomal RNA", at positions 509 to 809 of the family's 1533-position model. The record is from RNAcentral.
CAGUCGCCGCGGGAAUACGUAGGGUGCGAGCGUUAAUCGGAAUUACUGGGCGUAAAGCGUGCGCAGGCGGUCCGCUAAGACAGAUGUGAAAUCCCCGGGCUUAACCUGGGAACUGCAUUUGUGACUGGCGGGCUAGAGUAUGGCAGAGGGGGGUAGAAUUCCACGUGUAGCAGUGAAAUGCGUAGAGAUGUGGAGGAAUACCGAUGGCGAAGGCAGCCCCCUGGGCCAAUACUGACGCUCAUGCACGAAAGCGUGGGGAGCAAACAGGAUUAGAUACCCCUGUAGUCCCUGUCUCUUAUAA